GAUAAGAAUGUUACAGGUGUUACUGAGAAGGAUGAGUCUUUGAAGAGUUGGGACAACGAGUUUGUCAAGGUGGACCAAAAUACCCUCUUUGACCUCAUCCUGGUAAGGGUUCGAGUUUCCUUUUUGACCUUUUUUUUAUAUUUAUUGAUUUGUCCUUGUUUGAGUUAUCUGCCUGGUAUUUUGUUUAAAGUUUUUUUUUUCUUUUUGGUUUUAUGGAAAAUAUUUUUUAAAAAUCGAAAAUGUUUAUUGAGUUUCUAGGGAUUGUGUUUUAUGCUUUGACGGUUUUUUUUUUUUUUUGCCUGUUUGCUUUCAACCAUCAUUAGUUUAUGACUCUCUUGCGCUAGAAAGUGUAGAAAGAAGGUACUUUUUUAUUCUUUUAGAUAUCAAAUUUGGAGGGAAAUAAGCUUUAUGUUUGUUUCCUGCUUCAAGUAUAAUUCAUGGCGGUUGAGCUUUGACGGCUUGCUUAUGGCAAUCGAAUAAUCUCAAGUUUGGUAUAUGUGGGCAGUUGCCAGGUAUCUGUAUUUGAAUACUCUCAUAUGAGAUUAGCCUUUUCUAAGCUGUUGCUAGUUAUCAUUUUCUGUGUAUUUGUUUGUUAUGUAUACACUGUUGUGAAUUAGCAUGGCUAACAUGUAAUGUUGUUUUCAGGCAGCUAACUAUCUGAACAUCAAGGGCUUGCUAGAUUUGACCUGCCAGACUGUGGCUGACAUGAUCAAGGGGAAGACUCCGGAAGAGAUUCGCAAGACAUUUAACAUCAAGAAUGACUUCACUCCAGAGGAAGAGGAGGAG
This 786-nucleotide long non-coding RNA is filed under the name Populus tremula. RNAcentral's name for it is "long non-coding RNA (PTRE_LNC002242)". Lineage: Eukaryota; Viridiplantae; Streptophyta; Magnoliopsida; Malpighiales; Salicaceae. The record is from RNAcentral.